Caenorhabditis elegans is the source of this 21-nucleotide non-coding RNA. The record is from Ensembl. Lineage: Eukaryota; Metazoa; Nematoda; Chromadorea; Rhabditida; Rhabditidae.
UCCCCGUUCACACGUUCUACC